CCAGUCGGCUCCUCGUACGGGGUCCGUCCAGCCGCCCCGGCGGCCGGAUGCAUGGACCCGCGAUGACCCGACGGGGUCUUGAGGAGUCCGCACAUG
Molecule: non-coding RNA, 96 nt
Filed under: unclassified sequences
Description: malK-III RNA
Rfam family: malK-III RNA
Source: RNAcentral